UCACUUUGGCAGUAGAGGUGCCAAAACUGAAAUGAUACAGAGAAGAUGAGCAUGGCGCCUGCACAAGGAUAGCCUGCAAACUGUAGAAGUAUUUCAUAUUUUU
Small nuclear RNA from Vombatus ursinus (common wombat), 103 nucleotides. NCBI's taxonomy places the organism in Eukaryota, Metazoa, Chordata, Mammalia, Diprotodontia, Vombatidae. The record is from Ensembl.